AAACAAAAAAUCUCAUACAAAAAGCAGACAACGAUUUUGGUUGUCUGCCAGUGAGUUCAAUGAGUUAGCUAAUUGUGAUAAAUUGCAUCCCCAUUACGAGAAGAGUGAAGCUGCUAGUUCAAACAGCUU
Molecule: non-coding RNA, 129 nt
Filed under: Bacillus cereus biovar anthracis str. CI
Lineage: Bacteria; Bacillati; Bacillota; Bacilli; Caryophanales; Bacillaceae
Source: RNAcentral